RNAcentral lists this ribosomal RNA (118 nucleotides) under Acronychia oblongifolia. RNAcentral describes it as "partial 5.8S ribosomal RNA". It matches the Rfam family "5.8S ribosomal RNA", at positions 30 to 154 of the family's 154-position model. Rfam says of the family: 5.8S ribosomal RNA (5.8S rRNA) is a component of the large subunit of the eukaryotic ribosome. It is transcribed by RNA polymerase I as part of the 45S precursor that also contains 18S and 28S rRNA. The record is from RNAcentral. Lineage: Eukaryota; Viridiplantae; Streptophyta; Magnoliopsida; Sapindales; Rutaceae.
GCAUCGAUGAAGAACGCAGCGAAAUGCGAUACUUGGUGUGAAUUGCAGAAUCCCGUGAACCAUCGAGUCUUUGAACGCAAGUUGCGCCCGUUAAGGGCACGUCUGCCUGGGUGUCACG